GAUGAACGCUGGCGGCGUGCCUAAUACAUGCAAGUCGAGCGAACAGACGAGGAGCUUGCUCCUCUGACGUUAGCGGCGGACGGGUGAGUAACACGUGGAUAACCUACCUAUAAGACUGGGAUAACUUCGGGAAACCGGAGCUAAUACCGGAUAAUAUAUUGAACCGCAUGGUUCAAUAGUGAAUGACGGUUUUGCUGUCACUUAUAGAUGGAUCCGCGCCGCAUUAGCUAGUUGGUAAGGUAACGGCUUACCAAGGCAACGAUGCGUAGCCGAGCUGAGAGAGGGAUAGGCCACACUGGAGCUGAGACACGGUCCAGACUCCUACGGGAGGCAGCAGUAGGGAACCUUCCGCAAUGGGCGAAAGCCUGACAGAGCAACGCCGCGUGAGUGAUGAAGGUCUUCGGAUCGUAAAACUCUGUUAUUAGGGAAGAACAAAUGUGUAAGUAACUAUGCACGUCUUGACGGUACCUAAUCAGAAAGCCACGGCUAACUACGUG
This 497-nucleotide ribosomal RNA is filed under the name uncultured bacterium. RNAcentral's name for it is "partial 16S ribosomal RNA". It matches the Rfam family "Bacterial small subunit ribosomal RNA", at positions 28 to 507 of the family's 1533-position model. The record is from RNAcentral.